RNAcentral lists this ribosomal RNA (406 nucleotides) under uncultured bacterium. RNAcentral's name for it is "partial 16S ribosomal RNA". It matches the Rfam family "Bacterial small subunit ribosomal RNA", at positions 29 to 526 of the family's 1533-position model. The record is from RNAcentral.
AUUGAACGCUGGCGGCAGGCCUAACACAUGCAAGUCGAACGAGUGGCGGACGGGUGAGUAAUGUCUGGGAAACUGCCUGAUGGAGGGGGAUAACUACUGGAAACGGUAGCUAAUACCGCAUACCAUCAGAUGUGCCCAGAUGGGAUUAGCGUGUUGGGGGGGAAACGGCUCACCAAGGCGACGAUCCCUAGCUGGUCUGGGAGGAGGACCAGCAACACUGGAACUAGGACACGCACCAAGCUCCGACGGGGGGCAGCAGGGGGGAAGAUUGCACAAUGGGCGAAAGCCUGAUGCAGCCAUGCCGCGUGUAUGAAGAAGGCCUUCGGGUUGUAAAGUACGUUCAGCGGGGAGGCGUUACCCGCAGAAGAAGCACCGGCUAACUCCGUGCCAGCAGCCGCGGUAAUAC